AACGAACGCUGGCGGCAGGCCUAACACAUGCAAGUCGAGCGGACCCUUCGGGGUUAGCGGCGGACGGGUGAGUAACGCGUGGGAAUAUGCCCUUCUCUACGGAAUAGUCCUGGGAAACUGGGGGUAAUACCGUAUACGCCCUUUGGGGGAAAGAUUUAUCGGGGAAGGAUUAGCCCGCGUUGGAUUAGGUAGUUGGUGGGGUAAUGGCCUACCAAGCCGACGAUCCAUAGCUGGUUUGAGAGGAUGAUCAGCCACACUGGGACUGAGACACGGCCCAGACUCCUACGGGAGGCAGCAGUGGGGAGUCUUAGACAAUGGGGGCAACCCUGAUCUAGCCAUGCCGCGUGAGUGAUGAAGGCCUUAGGGUUGUAAAGCUCUUUCAGCUGGGAAGAUAAUGACGGUACCAGCAGAAGAAGCCCCGGCUAACUCCGUG
RNAcentral lists this ribosomal RNA (433 nucleotides) under uncultured bacterium. RNAcentral's name for it is "partial 16S ribosomal RNA". It matches the Rfam family "Bacterial small subunit ribosomal RNA", at positions 29 to 507 of the family's 1533-position model. The record is from RNAcentral.